AGCGGAGAAUAUAAAUGUCGAGCCUUUGUCAAGACGAACAUUUACAAUACAGGAAAAACUUCAACGGCCCUCGUCAUUGUAAACGGUCCUCCAGAUGCUCCACAAAAUUUAAACAUCAAUGGAGGAUGUCAAAACUUCACUGCUAAUCUUGCUUGGACGUUAUAUCUCAACUCUUAUCACACUGUGGACAGAGUCUUCAUCCAGUGGAGUGUGAUGGAAAAUAUGACUAUGUGGUACAAUGUAACGGACAACAUGACUGUAAGUGGAAACCUAGAAGGUCGUAUCGUGAAGGGACUGAAUCCUUACACAGACAUAGUUUUUCGAGUGAUUGCUGAGAACGUUUAUGGAUUGAGCGAGCCAAGUAAUUACACAAAA
Molecule: long non-coding RNA, 375 nt
Organism: Xenia sp. Carnegie-2017
Lineage: Eukaryota; Metazoa; Cnidaria; Anthozoa; Malacalcyonacea; Xeniidae
Exons: 2
Source: RefSeq, a predicted model, not a curated record